GGAAGAGUGUCCGAGUGGCUUAAGGAGCACGCUUGGAAAGCGUGUAUACGUUAAUCGCGUAUCGAGGGUUCGAAUCCCUCCUCUUCCG
This 88-nucleotide transfer RNA is filed under the name Verrucomicrobiota bacterium. Its description in RNAcentral is "Verrucomicrobia bacterium tRNA-Ser". It matches the Rfam family "tRNA". Rfam says of the family: Transfer RNA (tRNA) molecules are approximately 80 nucleotides in length. Their secondary structure includes four short double-helical elements and three loops (D, anti-codon, and T loops). RNAcentral also lists the same sequence under 1 other name. The record is from RNAcentral. Lineage: Bacteria; Pseudomonadati; Verrucomicrobiota.